UCGAACGAUGGAGCCCUUCGGGGUGGAUUAGUGGCGAACGGGUGAGUAACACGUGGGCAAUCUGCCCUUCACUCUGGGACAAGCCCUGGAAACGGGGUCUAAUACCGGAUAACACUCUGUCCUGCAUGGGACGGGGUUGAAAGCUCCGGCGGUGAAGGAUGAGCCCGCGGCCUAUCAGCUUGUUGGUGGGGUAAUGGCCUACCAAGGCGACGACGGGUAGCCGGCCUGAGAGGGCGACCGGCCACACUGGGACUGAGACACGGCCCAGACUCCUACGGGAGGCAGCAGUGGGGAAUAUUGCACAAUGGGCGAAAGCCUGAUGCAGCGACGCCGCGUGAGGGAUGACGGCCUUCGGGUUGUAAACCUCUUUCAGCAGGGAAGAAGCGCAAGUGACGGUACCUGCAAAAGAAGCGCCGGCUAACUACGUGCCAGCAGCCGCGGUAAUACGUAGGGCGCAAGCGUUGUCCGGAAUUAUUGGGCGUAAAGAGCUCGUAGGCGGCUUGUCACGUCGGAUGUGAAAGCCCGGGGCUUAACCCCGGGUCUGCAUUCGAUACGGGCUAGCUAGAGUGUGGUAGGGGAGAUCGGAAUUCCUGGUGUAGCGGUGAAAUGCGCAGAUAUCAGGAGGAACACCGG
RNAcentral lists this ribosomal RNA (633 nucleotides) under Streptomyces violaceoruber. Its description in RNAcentral is "bacterial SSU rRNA". It matches the Rfam family "Bacterial small subunit ribosomal RNA", at positions 62 to 712 of the family's 1533-position model. The record is from RNAcentral. Lineage: Bacteria; Bacillati; Actinomycetota; Actinomycetes; Kitasatosporales; Streptomycetaceae.